UAACGGGAACUCUCUGGAUGCACUUUCCGGUUUUUUUGCUCCGGGUGUUACUCCUCAUCUGUUUCCGGAGAAA
RNAcentral lists this small nucleolar RNA (73 nucleotides) under Trypanosoma theileri. RNAcentral's name for it is "Trypanosomatid snoRNA TB10Cs5H3". It matches the Rfam family "Trypanosomatid snoRNA TB10Cs5H3". Lineage: Eukaryota; Euglenozoa; Kinetoplastea; Trypanosomatida; Trypanosomatidae. The record is from Rfam by way of RNAcentral.